AGAGUUUGAUCAUGGCUCAGGACGAACGCUGGCGGCGUGCUUAACACAUGCAAGUCGAACGGAAAGGCCCCUUCGGGGGUACUCGAGUGGCGAACGGGUGAGUAACACGUGGGUGAUCUGCCCUGCACUUUGGGAUAAGCCUGGGAAACUGGGUCUAAUACCGAAUAGGACCGCAUGCUUCAUGGUGUGUGGUGGAAAGCUUUUGCGGUGUGGGAUGGGCCCGCGGCCUAUCAGCUUGUUGGUGGGGUAAUGGCCUACCAAGGCGACGACGGGUAGCCGGCCUGAGAGGGUGUCCGGCCACACUGGGACUGAGAUACGGCCCAGACUCCUACGGGAGGCAGCAGUGGGGAAUAUUGCACAAUGGGCGCAAGCCUGAUGCAGCGACGCCGCGUGGGGGAUGACGGCCUUCGGGUUGUAAACCUCUUUCAGUAUCGGCGAAGCUCCAGGAUUUUCCUUGGGGUGACGGUAGGUACAGAAGAAGCACCGGCCAACUACGUGCCAGCAGCCGCGGUAAUACGUAGGGUGCGAGCGUUGUCCGGAAUUACUGGGCGUAAAGAGCUCGUAGGUGGUUUGUCACGUUGUCUGUGAAAACUCACAGCUUAACUGUGGGCGUGCGGGCGAUACGGGCAGACUGGAGUACUGUAGGGGAGACUGGAAUUCCUGGUGUAGCGGUGGAAUGCGCAGAUAUCAGGAGGAACACCGGUGGCGAAGGCGGGUCUCCGGGCAGUAACUGACGCUGAGGAGCGAAAGCGUGGGGAGCGAACAGGAUUAGAUACCCUGGUAGUCCAA
This 789-nucleotide ribosomal RNA is filed under the name uncultured bacterium. Its description in RNAcentral is "bacterial SSU rRNA". It matches the Rfam family "Bacterial small subunit ribosomal RNA", at positions 8 to 798 of the family's 1533-position model. The record is from RNAcentral.